Stomoxys calcitrans (stable fly) is the source of this 136-nucleotide non-coding RNA. The record is from Rfam. Lineage: Eukaryota; Metazoa; Arthropoda; Insecta; Diptera; Muscidae.
GCCUUCCUUGUCGUGGGGAGCAUAAUACUCAGUGAACGUUUAGUGAGAGUAUUUAUGCUGACACCACUACUUAAAUAUCCCCUGUGUGCAGUGAAUCUCUUUGUGAGAAUCCUUAGCAUACGGAAUUUUUGGACAA